GACGAACGCUGGCGGCGUGCUUAACACAUGCAAGUCGAACGGAAAGGCCCCUUUGGGGGUACUCGAGUGGCGAACGGGUGAGUAACGCGUGCGUAACCUGCCCUUGACUUCGGGAUAACUUCAGUAAACUGGGGCUAAUACCGACUAGGAAUCCUUGCUGCAUGGUGGGGGUUGGAAAGCUUCGGCGGUUUUGGAUGGACUCGCGGCUUAUUAGCUUGUUGGUGGGGUAGUGGCUUACCAAGGCUUUGACGGGUAGCCGGCCUGAGAGGGCGACCGGCCAAAUUGGGACCGAGAUACGGCCCAGACUCCUACGGGGGGCAGCAGUGGGGAAUAUUGCACAAUGGGCGGAAGCCUGAUGCAGCAACGCCGCGGGCGGGAUGACGGCCUUCGGGUUGUAAACCGCUUUCAGCAGGGGCGAAGCUUGUGGUGACGGUACCUGCAGAAGAAGCACCGGCUAACUACGUG
Molecule: ribosomal RNA, 465 nt
Filed under: uncultured bacterium
Lineage: Bacteria
Description: partial 16S ribosomal RNA
Rfam family: Bacterial small subunit ribosomal RNA
Source: RNAcentral